AGCCCUAAGUGGGUGGUAAACUCCAUCUAAGGCUAAAUAUGACCACGAGACCGAUAGCGAACAAGUACCGUGAGGGAAAGUUGAAAAGCACUUUGAAGAGAGAGUUCAAGAGUACGUGAAACCGUUUAGGGGUAAACCUGAGAAACCCGAAAGGUCGAAGGAAGAAAUUCAUUCGCGUUUCGUCGCAGGCGUCGAGCGGGAUCGUGUGACGGGGAGCGUUCGCGCGUUUCCCGCGCCUCCCGUUCUUCGAACCGGUGACGAACGCGUGCACUUUUCUUCUGGUAGGACGUCGCGAUCCGUUGGGUGUCGGUCUACGGCUCGCGGUGGAGCCCGUUCGUCGUGCUUCUCGUACGUACGGACGGACCCGUGUGUCCCGGCUGACUCGCUCGACGGUAUACGAAAGGUUUAAGGCCGCUCUCGGAGCGUUCGGCUCGUGGCAAGCGCGCCAGAUGCGUCGGCGAUCGGACCUAGUGCCGAUUCUGACCUCUGGUGACUGUUGGCUGCGAAGUUCUCGAACAGACCUUAAGACCGAUCUGCGACGCUAUAGCUUUGGGUACUUUCAG
Molecule: ribosomal RNA, 563 nt
Filed under: Lixus pulverulentus
Lineage: Eukaryota; Metazoa; Arthropoda; Insecta; Coleoptera; Curculionidae
Description: partial 28S ribosomal RNA
Rfam family: Eukaryotic large subunit ribosomal RNA
Source: RNAcentral